Molecule: long non-coding RNA, 1471 nt
Filed under: Homo sapiens (human)
Lineage: Eukaryota; Metazoa; Chordata; Mammalia; Primates; Hominidae
Description: HSALNT0135383
Source: RNAcentral
CCUAAGAGUCCUAGUCCGUGGGCUCUCUCACUCCAUAGGGAGGCCACGUGUAAUGAUGAAAAGAAAACUGGACAAGAAAACUGAAAUUCAUAUUCCCGAUACACAAUACCCUGUGAUUCCAUUUUCUGGAGAUGUUUGAGGUGGGGAUGGGGCCAACAGAGGCAGGGACAAGACGGGCUCCUUCACCCAGUGGAGGUGGUUCCUUCCUUCGCUCAGGCCUCGCUGACAGGUCUCUGAUUCUGUAGCCUGAUUUCAGGAACUUAUUCUUGGCUUUUGCUUUUCUCAGGGUAAUGAGCUUUCAGCCUAGCACUUGCUAACACUAACAAAUGAGGCCAAUUGCAGCUCGCUGUGGAUCACCUUUCAAUAGUGGGUUGACAAGGAGAACAAUGCAUUUGUUUGCGGCUGUCGAGUCUUCAGGGAGGAUCUGUCAUCUCCGAGGUGGCCACUGACAGAUGAGAUACCUCAUCUGAAGAAAGAGAACAAGAGCUGUGGGCUGGAAAGACGGAAGCUCCAAUGUUUCCCUGGCCACCUCUGGUCCACUGUAGGGGAGGCUUUGCACAAGCCCCACCUGGAACCGGCAGAGCCUGGAUGGACACAGGUCUUGCUGUGAACUGCACUGGGCUUCAGGAAGAGGCCAUGCUGGGCAGAAACUCGAUGCUAAUUAAUGAGAUGCCUGGGCUCUGUAAUCAGAAGAUGAAGGGGAGCCAGUGAUCUCAGUAACACUAGGCAGUUGCUUGUGCAAAUGCCCAUUUUUCCAUACAGAGGACAGGGAGGUGCAAUAAAGGGCUCCUCUUGGUCCUGGGCUGACCCACCAGCAUGCUGAUGUCCUCUGGCCAGCUUGCCUGGAAGUAGCCUUCCCUGAUGACACUGCCUCUGUUCUCCAAAGCAAUACAUACAACUUUUUUAUUACUGUGACCAAAUGGAUUACUCCUUUCUGCACAAGAAUGUAUGUCAUUGUCAACAUCAAAAACUUCCCUGCUUUACCCUGACAGCACAUGCCUUAUUGAUCAGGUGCCUCUGAACAACUCACUUACACAAAGCACUUAAACCUGUAUGACUUCAAAAAGUAAGAAUAAUCAUCAGGUGAAAGCAGAUUUUAAUCGUGACUCUAGAUAGCAUUGUGCUGAUUGGACUCUCAUCACCCGACUCUGAGUCAACUGAUGUCCUUGCUUGGAGGUUCAAGCACCAAGUGCAGGCAUGAAGCUGCCUGACAUCUAAGGAUCUCUGAAGAGAACUGGGACCUGAAACCCAUCUGAAAUGUAUCUGCAGACAGGUCAAGUUCAUCGAGAGUCACCUCCUGCCUGACACUCCAGUCAUUAAUUCCAGUGUGAAGAACAUGAUGAAGGUCCGUCCUAAGGAUGUCUUGGCUACCACAUCUCCAAAUCCAACGGUUGACGUUGUUGCCAUGACCAGAUCUCCAGAUCAGCCUGAAGAUCAACAGGAUGAUGAGUCCACUGAAGAAGGUCACAAA